CAAGCUUGUAGCGUCAUACCCAAGAAGACGUGAGGCUGUAAUCGCUGCCAAAGGCGCUUCAACAAAGUACUGAGUAAAGGGUCUGAAUACUUAUGUAAAUGUAAUAUUUCAGUUUUUGUAUUGUACUAUCAUUACUGUACCUUGCCAGUACAGAGCUGCUAUUUUCACUGUGUCUCCAGCCACGGGGAUCCCUCAAAUUACCGUCUGGAUACUCUUUGUCUUCUUAUCGUCCUGGGGCAGAGAACCAACCGGAAUAAUCCCCUGGAAAGCACUGGUGUUACUCCUCUCCUCUUCCCUUCCCUUGCUUCCCCAAAUACAUAAUGUUAACAUCAGGGAUGCAAAGCUAGUCGCCUUUUGGCGAAAUUCGCCAUUUUGAAUCCAAAAUAGGUGACCUACGUGAUUUGUUUAGAUCCUAUGAGAAAAGUUUAGGCGAGGGGGGGGUUGGAUGAUUACAAACUGUAUGCGAACGAGUGAUGCGCGUUUGGAGCAAUACUGUCUGUAUCCAAGGCUCGGGCAAUCGUUCACAUGACAGAAUGCAGCACGCGACUGAAGAGACAUCCGCGCACGCUCUGGAAAGACUGCGGUAUGUGGUUAAUUUUCAGAAUGAGAGAAUUGGGUGAAAAUGAGGCGUUGCUUGUUAAAGAAGUGUAGCAGGAGCUGGGCCUGGUUUAAGCUGGAUGCCACUAUAGAGGUGAAAGGAACACCACACACUUUCCCUCUUUCUCACUUUUUCAAUACAGUGGAUAAAAGGCGGAUGCCAGGUGUAUUCUCUGCCUGAAAUAUCAAUUAUGCCAAGAAAGGGCAUCAUGCUCUGCUGGCACAUUGUAGAACAGAUGUCCACAGGCAGAAAGUGUACAAUGUAUUAAUGCAGUGUAGCCCAAAGAUAUUGCUUUUGUUGUGUUGAACUUGACAGUCAGUACCACAUAUUAAAUGUUGUACUCAGUGAAUGUUCUUUUUGCAUACAUGUAGCCUUGUGCACUUGAUCGAUGUCUAUAGUGGCCACUAUAAAAGAGCAAAAAUAGAAUGCCUGUUUGUUUCAUUCUAUUCCUGCUUAAGAUGUUUUUUUCCCAAGUGCAAUAUUUAGAUGUGUGUGGUCACAAGUGUUAAAUUAUAAAGGCUGUCAUGACUAACUGUAAUAUUAGUGUAUUGUUUUUUUCUCAAGACUUGAAUGUCAUUGGAUUGCUUUCUUUAGCCCUGGAUUGUAAACUGCCAUGGUCAAAACAUAUUGAUUCAACAGUAGCUAAGAUGGGGAGAAGUAUGUCCAUGAUAAGGCGCUGCUCUACCUUCUUGACAGCACUGUCAACAAGGCAGGUCCUACAGGCCCUAAUUUUGUUGCACCUGGAUUACUGUUCAGUCGUGUGGUCAGGUGCCACAAAAAAGGAUUUAGGAAAAUUGCAAUUGGUUCAGAACAGGGCAGCAUGGCUGGCCCAUUGAUGUACACAGAGAGCUAAUAUUCAUAAUGUGCAUGUCAAUCUCUCCUGGCUGAAAGUGGAGGAGAGAUUGACUUCAUCACUGCAUGUAUUUAUGAGACGUAUUGACAUGUUGAAUGCACCGAGCUGUCUGUUUGAACCACUGGAACACAGCUAUACAUACCCCACAAGACAUGCCACAAGAGGUCUCUUCACAGUCCCCAAGUCCAGAACAGACUAUGGAAGGUGCGCAGUAUUAAAUAGAACCAUGACUACAUGGAAUUCUAUUCCACAUCAAGUAACUCAUGCAAGCAGUAAAAUUUGAUUAAAAAAAACACCUUAUGGAACAGCGGGGACUGUGAAGCAAUACAAACAGGGACAGACACACACACACACACACGAUAGCAUAUGCACUAUACACACACACUUACACAUGGCUUUUGUACUGUAUAUAUGUGGUAGUGGUGGAGUAGGGGCCUGAGGGCUCACAGUCUGAAUGUAUUGUAAUGUUUUAAAAAUGCUAUAAACUGCCUUAAUUUUGCUGGACCCCAGGAAGAGUGCAGCUAAUGUGGAUCCAUAAUAAAUACAAAUUCUUUAAAUGUUUUAGCUGUGAGUUAGGUUCACAUUAAUCACUUUAUUUUACACACAGAGACUGACCAUGUAGAUCAUAUUCUUUGUUGUUUCAUUAGUUAAAACCUGCAUUUCCCCGUAGCAGGGAUUUUUUUUGUAUGUUUCAGUGCAACAGAAAAAGUGCCACCUUUAUGAGCCCUAAACCAGUUUGCAUCCCUGUAACAUAGCUUCUUUACUGCCAAUUCAGUCAGCGAGGACAUAUAAUAGGGAAAAUACUUUUGUUACUGUUUGAAAGCAGUGGUCCCCACAUGUUGCGGUUCAAGAACAUGGGUUCAUGAGAUCCCAUUCAUGUGGACUGUGACCUCAGUGUAGAGCCAGCUGCUGCUCUCAGCUCCGUUCCAUCUCCGACUGGUGCAUUGUUGUAUGAUUAAUGAUAUUAUAAGCAAGCUGAUUGCAAAUAGAAAAUCCCCUCUAUUUUAAGAAUGGCUUUAUACCAGUGGGGCCUCUGUGACAGUCAAUCAAGGCCUCCCUCAAGGAUUGAAAUGUUCUCAUACCAACCUGAAACUCAACUGUCACCAAAUUAACAACUGCCAAAUAAAUAUGACAUAGCUGACAUGAGAAGAAGUGACAUAUUAGGCCCGUCUGCUGCAUUGGUCGCUGGAAUAGUGACACAGCAUCAGCCUGUAAGACUGUAAUCCUUCUGAUAGGACCGUACAGCCCCCUGCUCUCCACCAAUCAAAAUCAAACGGGAACCCGACUGACAGUAAGAGGACAAUACAACAACAUCCCAAAAGUCCAUGUUAGUCUUGUCUUGUUCUGGUGAUGUGGUGUUUCUAUACUGAAGAGACAGGCAUCAGGGAGACAUACAAUAAAUACAUUGAUGGGGAUACCAGACUGGAACUCUCAGAAACAUCCUUUACAAAAGGCUAGAAAAACACAAAUGUUAUUAUGUUAUUUAUGAAACUGCUUUUCUACUGUUGGUUUGUGAUGAAAUCCCCAAAGGGUGUGUGGCGGAUGAAUCAGAAUUAGUUGGGUAACAUAGAUAAUUAAGAUGUUUUAUUUGCAUAAUAUGCUUAUGUGAGGUACUUGUCAUUAGAAUGUAUCCAUUUGGAUAAUGAAUGUUGGCAUUUGCACUUUUCCCUUAGCUGGGUCUCAGUCACUUGGGGCCCAGAGAAGGGAGAGGUCAGGCUUGUCUUUUACAUGUCCCUGGUGCUAUGCAGAAUAUCAGAAAGGGAAGAGGACAGGAUGGAACAUUGUCUUCAUAUGUGAAUGUGUCUUUACCUAUUCUUAAACCAUGUGAAGGGAUGGCGUGAUUAAUGUGGAACCAAUUAUUUGUCUCCACAAUGUCUGUGCGCAAGUCACUCCCCUCAGUGAGCUUGUCCAGAAGUGGGAUCAAGAGGGGGUUUACUUGAGAUGGGAGUAUCUAGAGUUGACAAUUGAUAUAUGCCAUUGGAUAAGUUGGUGUUUUUGUACUAUGAAGUACCAGGAAUGAGAUUAGAACCUCGUCUUAGAGACCAAACUGAAUGAUAAUUUAUAGCGAAUGUUAUCUGGCUAAGGGAUACUCCUUUCUCAAAUAUAAAGUCCCUUUGUGAACUGUUUCUAAGAUCUGUUGUUCGUCAUGUACGUUGAGAGGGGUGUAUCUUGGCUAUAAAAGAUCUUUGUACUUUUGUGUAGUCACUUUCAAUGGUUCAUUAGAGAUAGCGCAUCAUUGAAAGUCAAGUGCUUUUGCAAAAACUCUUAAUUAUUAAAGAUGUAGUUUAAGUAUAACUCUGACUGGUGUGUGAAGUUUGUAACUCUCUUCAUUUGGUAAUGCAGAAAUUAGCCACCACAGGUGACUUUGACAAACAUAGAGGACCUCUAACAGACUACCCAUCAUCAGACAAAUAGAUCCCUGCGUGCACAUAAAGGGUUCAACUACAUAGACAUCAACAGACACAUGCUGAAGGAAGAUAAUGUAGCCUCCUGAUGAGUAGACAGUUGACAAAACUUCAUUUUGAUUCAGUCAGACUGGAG
RNAcentral lists this long non-coding RNA (3992 nucleotides) under Salmo salar (Atlantic salmon). Its description in RNAcentral is "lncRNA (ENSSSAG00000085236.1)". The record is from RNAcentral. Lineage: Eukaryota; Metazoa; Chordata; Actinopteri; Salmoniformes; Salmonidae.